UUCAAUAUUUAUGCAGCUUGAUCUUUCUAUAAUUAUUGCUUUGCUUUUGGAAUCAAUUUAGGCCUAUUGCUUUUAAUUGCUUGAGUAAUAUAUUGUUUGAAUGAUUUAAGUCCGUAAUUGCUUAGGUUGUUUAAACUCAAGUGUAAUCGGUUGCAUAAUCUAAACUUGACCACGCGGUUGGCAAGGUUAGAAUUAGGUUUCUCUAAGUCUUAAUGCAGUCAACAGUUGUUCGAUGCUAAAAUCCCCAAGGACGUUCCUUGGCAAC
This 265-nucleotide long non-coding RNA is filed under the name Manihot esculenta (cassava). RNAcentral's name for it is "long non-coding RNA (MESC_LNC001574)". The record is from RNAcentral. Lineage: Eukaryota; Viridiplantae; Streptophyta; Magnoliopsida; Malpighiales; Euphorbiaceae.